UGUAUUCUACCCUUGUUUGUCAUAUACUAUUAUUUCCUCGGCAGGCUUGCCUGCCGAGUGAAACCAUUUAUAACCUUUUUAAUUUUCAAUCAGCGUCUGAAAAAAAUUAAUAAUUACAACUUUCAACAACGGAUCUCUUGGUUCUGGCAUCGAUGAAGAACGCAGCGAAAUGCGAUAAGUAGUGUGAAUUGCAGAAUUCAGUGAAUCAUCGAAUCUUUGAACGCACAUUGCGCCCCUUGGUAUUCCAUGGGGCAUGCCUGUUCGAGCGUCAUUUGUACCUUCAAGCUUUGCUUGGUGUUGGGUGUUUGUCCCGCGGGACUCGCCUUAAAGUAAUUGGCAGCCAGUGUUUGGUUUUGAAGCGCAGCACAAGUCGCGAUUCAAGGCUACACGCCCGCUUCCACAAGCCUUUUUUCACUUUUGACCUCGGAUCAGGUAGGGAUACCCGCUGAACUUAAGCAUAUCAAU
Molecule: ribosomal RNA, 465 nt
Filed under: Paraphoma chrysanthemicola
Lineage: Eukaryota; Fungi; Ascomycota; Dothideomycetes; Pleosporales; Phaeosphaeriaceae
Description: eukaryotic LSU rRNA
Rfam family: 5.8S ribosomal RNA (bases 118-271)
Source: RNAcentral